This 804-nucleotide long non-coding RNA is filed under the name Brachypodium distachyon (stiff brome). RNAcentral's name for it is "long non-coding RNA (BDIS_LNC005465)". The record is from RNAcentral. Lineage: Eukaryota; Viridiplantae; Streptophyta; Magnoliopsida; Poales; Poaceae.
CCAAAUUUAUCCCAAGCAAAUAGGUAAUGCCAAAAAAUUUAGAUCAACAUGCCAUCUAUUUAUCUUAACGAGUUUAACAAGCGCUCGCGAGCUCUUAAUGAACCGAGCCGAACAAUGGUCUCAGAUCAUUAACGAUAACGAUCUUAACGAUCCGAGCUCUUAACGAACCGAGCUCAAUGAACCGAGCUCUUAACGAACCGAGCGUGCUCGUUAGCCAGCCCUAGGGAUGAGCGACUCAAGGGUUUUUUCGAAACUUUUAAAGGUACUCAAGUUCGUGCAGGGAUAUCAGUGGCAAUGUUGCUACUCCAGUCUGAUGCAAUCUCUAUGUUGAAUCCUCAGCAAUAUUUCAUGUUGCAAAACAUGAUAUCACGGAGAAGAUGUUUUGAAGAGAUUUCAUCGUAAUUAUAAGAGUUACCUUAUAGUUUCUAGAAUCUAUGAUCCAAAGCAUUGUGGCUGUAAUGGUUCUGGCGUUGAAUAAAAUUACAGGUUUUAUUAAAAAAGGAAAAUAAUAGCAACGGAAGGAAAACUAAAAAAAAAAGAGGAAGCUCGCGUUGCAUUAAUUCCACCCCACCGGAAUUAACCAAGUUUUGCAAGUGCCUGUCUGGCUCUCUAAGGUCGAUCUUGCCAGAAAUCAUACACAUUUUGACGCUUUUCUUGAUAGAAAAUGGCGUGCAGACCUGAGAAAAGAGAAUGUGACGUUUCUCUUGAUAGACACAGGCACCAACACGUACUUAGUACCACGGUGAGCGUCGAAUUAGAAUCAACGAAUUGGUAUGGUCAAAGUAGUUAAGUCACGAUCGAGGC